UACGUAGGGACCGAGCGUUGUCCGGAUUCAUUGGGCGUAAAUAGCUCGUAGGCGGCUGCUCAAGUCGAAUGUGAAAACUCGAGGCUCAACCUCGAGCCUGCAUUCGAUACUGGGCGGCUAGAGUCUGGUAGGGGGAUCUGGAAUUCCUGGUGUAGCGGUGGAAUGCGCAGAUAUCAGGAGGAACACCGGUGGCGAAGGCGGGAUCCUGGGCCAGUACUGACGCUGAGGAGCGAAAGCGUGGGGAGCAAACAGG
This 253-nucleotide ribosomal RNA is filed under the name uncultured bacterium. RNAcentral describes it as "partial 16S ribosomal RNA". It matches the Rfam family "Bacterial small subunit ribosomal RNA", at positions 524 to 776 of the family's 1533-position model. The record is from RNAcentral.